UAGAGUUUGAUCCUGGCUCAGAAUGAACGCUGGCGGCGUGCUUAACACAUGCAAGUCGUACGAGAACUCUUCUGCUUGCAGAAGAUAGUAAAGUGGCGCACGGGUGAGUAACGCGUGGGUAAUCUAUCUUUGAAUUGGGGAUAACCCCGCGAAAGCGGGGCUAAUACCGAAUAAUAUCCCGAGAACUUAGGUUUUUGGGAUCAAAGGUGGCCUCUACAUGUAAGCUACUGUUUAGAGAUGAGCCCGCGUACCAUUAGCUUGUUGGUAGGGUAAUGGCCUACCAAGGCAACGAUGGUUAGCUGGUCUGAGAGGAUGAUCAGCCACACUGGAACUGACACACGGUCCAGACUCCUACGGGAGGCAGCAGUGAGGAAUUUUGCGCAAUGGGGGAAACCCUGACGCAGCAACGCCGCGUGAGUGAUGAAGGCUUUCGAGUCGUAAAGCUCUGUCAAGUGAGAAGAAUCUAUCCUGCGCCAAUACCGCGGGAUACUGACGGUAUCACUGAAGGAAGCACCGGCUAACUCCGUGCCAGCAGCCGCGGUAAUACGGAGGGUGCAAGCGUUAUUCGGAAUUAUUGGGCGUAAAGGGCGCGUAGGCGGUCUUUUAAGUCAGAUGUGAAAGCCCGGGGCUCAACCUCGGAAGUGCAUUUGAAACUAAGAGACUUGAGUAUGGGAGAGGGAAGUGGAA
Molecule: ribosomal RNA, 687 nt
Filed under: uncultured delta proteobacterium
Lineage: Bacteria; Deltaproteobacteria
Description: bacterial SSU rRNA
Rfam family: Bacterial small subunit ribosomal RNA
Source: RNAcentral